Molecule: long non-coding RNA, 748 nt
Organism: Passer domesticus (house sparrow)
Lineage: Eukaryota; Metazoa; Chordata; Aves; Passeriformes; Passeridae
Exons: 3
Source: RefSeq, a predicted model, not a curated record
GGGAGCUGCCUCCCGGGCAAGGCACCUGAAACCUGUCUCAGCAGAUUUCCACUGCCAGCCUGCCUUCCAUCCAGGAGAGGAGUGAGGCAUAUGGAGGCAGGCUCACCAUCGGUUGGAACUAUUUUUCUGUGCAUGGGGAUGAAGAUAAGGGACUGAAUGCCUUACAAUCAUAAAGAGUGUUCAAGAGCUGUGCAUUAAAGGGAUCCAGAGAAGACCCUUGCUGUGGAAAGGAAGGAGAGACAAUUUAAUCUCAUCAGCCAUGGGAUUACUGGGCUGUGCAUCUCCCAUCAGUCUUACUCCUGCUGAUGGGCAAGUGCAGCAGCAGGAAUAAUCCAGCCUGACUCCCACCAGCAGCUCUGCCAGUCAGCUCCUGAGCCACGUUUUCAAGGAGAAAUCACAGUGCUCAGCCAGGAAAUGGGCUCCUGAGAGGAGGGAAGAAAAGGAACAUCAGGUGGAGGAGCAGAAAUCCUUCUGAAAGGCUGCUGUGCAGGGAGACGAGGAGAGAGACAAAUCACAGGGAAGGAUGGGCCAGUGGGGGUGCAAGCUCUCUGCCAGGAAGAGGCAAGAGAAAAAUGUCUCAAAUUGUAACCCAGACCUCAGUCUCCUGUAGAUUGGCAGUGACUUUACAGAUGCACUUUCAGGUGAAUGAGAUGUCAAACUCCCACACCUCUCAGCAAUUACCAAUACCAGUGCCUCACUAGGGUAAUGGUACCCAGUCUUGAGUUUUUAAUGUCAGUCAGGAGGAUUC